UCUCACCCUGCAUUCAGGUGGUUGUGGAGAAUGAUAAGGUCUCCCUUGAGCCUCCUUCAGGGUCAAUCCCACUCCCAGCUCCCAGCCAUUCCUCAUAGGUCUUGUGCUUCAGACCCUUCCCUUCCUUAUUUACUGACCUUUGGAGUUCAGCCUCUUGAAUCAUGAACACCUCCUGUGCCCUCACAGUCUUGUGAUUUUCAACAUGGUUUUGCCUGAUCUAGGGAGUCAGUGUAGAUUCUUGGGGAACCUGUCAGAUUAUGCAGGGAAAGCAAGUUGCCAUAAACAAAUCGGUGGUAGUGCACUCCUGAAGGUUUGCGUGUCUUCAGUAGGAAAGAUCAUUAAAUCAAAACUACUGCUUUAGGUGGCCUUUGAGGGAUAGGUUAUCAUCUGUAUGUCCUUUAUAUCGAAGAAAUUGUUUAGUGUGAGGGUGGUGAGGCACUGGCACAGAGUGGCAACCUAGUGAGGUUGUGGAUGCUCCAUCCCUGCAGCUGUUCCAAGGCCGGGUUGGGUGUGGCUCUGAGCAACCACCUCUUGUGGAAGCUGUUGGAACUAGGUGAUCUUUAAGGUCCUUUCCAAUACAAGCCUUUUUAUGAGUCCGUGUUCUGUCUUGUGUAGUUUGAGUUGUUAUGAAGGGUUUCCUGUCGUUCCUUCAAAUAACUAGUGUGGCCUGUGAACCACGAAGUUAAUAUUAAAUGUAGUGUUAGUUGGAGGAAGGAAAAAAAAUUUGUGAUCUGAAUGCUGUACCUAGUGAUCUUAGAAUUUAUGAAGUUAAAGGUUUUGUUUCUGUUUUCCUGUGCCCUCUUUGCUUCUUUGAGUAGUUGCACUGAUGCAGAUGUGCAAGACCUUGGCUUUCUCACGUGCUCGUGCUCAUCCAUAUGAUACUAAUCGUGAUGGUGACACCUGGGGAGUAGUUAAUGAAAAUCCAAAAGUGCAAGGAAAAACAUUACUUGGAGAUAGAAUAUGUGUGAAGGAGAUGUCAGUCACCAAUUCCAUUAAACCCAAGCUUUUGUAGUGAAGAACAGCAUUUUCUUGUUAGUGUGCACAACAUUAGAAUGAAGUGGCUUUGCUUUGCCUAGGUUUUUUUUUUUUUCAUUUUUUGAAUGUGUACAGUGUUGGGGUUUUGUGCAUAAGAUGGAAUUUACAGACAGACUGGCACAUGAAAUAUGGUUGAACUGGAAUUGUUCUGUGGCUCCUGUGUUUGAAUUCCUAACGUGGUUUAGAAUUUAAAUAUUCUCUUUCUCAGGAAAACAGAAGGGCUGCAUUGGAUGGAUGACCCCAUCAGUCAAAUAAAAACAUUGGUUUCAGAUA
Long non-coding RNA from Cyanistes caeruleus (blue tit), 1308 nucleotides. RefSeq lists it as uncharacterized. Lineage: Eukaryota; Metazoa; Chordata; Aves; Passeriformes; Paridae. The record is from RefSeq and is a predicted model, not a curated record.